GACGAAGGGGGCUAGCGUUGUUCGGAAUUACUGGGCGUAAAGCGCGUGUAGGCGGUUGUUCAAGUCAGGUGUGAAAGCCUUGAGCUCAACUCAAGAAAUGCACUUGAUACUGGAUAACUAGAGGACCGGAGAGGAUAGUGGAAUUCCCAGUGUAGUGGUGAAAUACGUAGAGAUUGGGAAGAACACCAGUGGCGAAGGCGGCUAUCUGGACGGUUUCUGACGCUAAGACGCGAAAGCAUGGGGGAGCGAAACAGG
Molecule: ribosomal RNA, 255 nt
Filed under: uncultured bacterium
Lineage: Bacteria
Description: partial 16S ribosomal RNA
Rfam family: Bacterial small subunit ribosomal RNA
Source: RNAcentral